GGACUACUGGGGUUUCUAAUCCUGUUUGCUCCCCACGCUUUCGCGUCUCAGCGUCAAGACCGGCCCAGAAGGCCGCCUUCGCCACCGGUAUUCCUCCAAAUAUCUACGAAUUUCACCUCUACACUUGGAAUUCCACCUUCCUCUACCGUCUUCUAGCCAGUUAGUUUCGAAUGCACUUCCUCGGUUGAGCCCAGGGAUUUCACACUCGACUUAACCAACCGCCUACACGCGCUUUACGCCCAAUGAUUCCGAACAACGCUAGCACCCUACGUAUUACCGCGGCUGCUGGCAC
This 292-nucleotide ribosomal RNA is filed under the name uncultured bacterium. Its description in RNAcentral is "partial 16S ribosomal RNA". The record is from RNAcentral.